GGCUGGUCCGAGUUCAGUGGGGUUCACAACUCAUUGAUCACGACCAGUUACAGAUUUCUUUGUUUCUUCUCCACUCCCACCAAGUCAUUUGAUGAGCCUUAA
RNAcentral lists this Y RNA (102 nucleotides) under Prolemur simus (greater bamboo lemur). RNAcentral describes it as "Y RNA (ENSPSMG00000000491.1)". It matches the Rfam family "Y RNA". From Rfam's summary of the family: Y RNAs are components of the Ro ribonucleoprotein particle (Ro RNP), in association with Ro60 and La proteins. The Y RNAs and Ro60 and La proteins are well conserved, but the function of the Ro RNP is not known. Lineage: Eukaryota; Metazoa; Chordata; Mammalia; Primates; Lemuridae. The record is from Rfam by way of RNAcentral.